This 490-nucleotide ribosomal RNA is filed under the name uncultured bacterium. RNAcentral's name for it is "partial 16S ribosomal RNA". It matches the Rfam family "Bacterial small subunit ribosomal RNA", at positions 29 to 505 of the family's 1533-position model. The record is from RNAcentral.
AGUGAACGCUGGCGGUAUGCCUAACACAUGCAAGUCGAACGGCAGCACAGUAAGAGCUUGCUCUUACGGGUGGCGAGUGGCGGACGGGUGAGGAAUACAUCGGAAUCUACUUUUUCGUGGGGGAUAACGUAGGGAAACUUACGCUAAUACCGCAUACGACCUACGUGUGAAAGCAGGGGAUCUUCUGACCUUGCGCGAUUGAAUGAGCCGAUGUCGGAUUAGCUAGUUGGCUGGGUAAAGGCCCACCAAGGCGACGAUCCGUAGCUGGUCUGAGAGGAUGAUCAGCCACACUGGAACUGAGACACGGUCCAGACUGCUACGGGAGGAAGCAGUGGAGAAUAUUGGACAAUGGGAGCAAGGCUGAUUCAGCCAUGCCGCGUGGGUGAAGCAAGCCAUCGGGUUGGAGAGCCCUUUUGUUGGGAGAGAUAAGCAGCAGGUUACUGCCACGAUGUUGAGACGGUCCCCAAAGAAUACGCACCGGCUAACUUCG